GUGUGCCCGUGGUAAUAACAGAUAUUUAGAAGUGUGUACGGAAAAUAAAUGGCCGAAAAAGAAGCACAAAAUGAUACUCAAAACAAACGAGAGAGGGGGGGU
Long non-coding RNA from Xenia sp. Carnegie-2017, 102 nucleotides. RefSeq lists it as uncharacterized. Lineage: Eukaryota; Metazoa; Cnidaria; Anthozoa; Malacalcyonacea; Xeniidae. The record is from RefSeq and is a predicted model, not a curated record. The transcript is spliced from 3 exons.